GAUGAACGCUGGCGGCGUGCCUAAUACAUGCAAGUCGAGCGAACAGACGAGGAGCUUGCUCCUCUGACGUUAGCGGCGGACGGGUGAGUAACACGUGGAUAACCUACCUAUAAGACUGGGAUAACUUCGGGAAACCGGAGCUAAUACCGGAUAAUAUAUUGAACCGCAUGGUUCAAUAGUGAAAGACGGUUUUGCUGUCACUUAUAGAUGGAUCCGCGCCGCAUUAGCUAGUUGGUAAGGUAACGGCUUACCAAGGCAACGAUGCGUAGCCGACCUGAGAGGGUGAUCGGCCACACUGGAACUGAGACACGGUCCAGACUCCUACGGGAGGCAGCAGUAGGGAAUCUUCCGCAAUGGGCGAAAGCCUGACGGAGCAACGCCGCGUGAGUGAUGAAGGUCUUCGGAUCGUAAACCUCUGUUAUUAGGGAAGAACAAAUGUGUAAGUAACUAUGCACGUCUUGACGGUACCUAACCAGAAAGCCACGGCUAACUACGUG
This 497-nucleotide ribosomal RNA is filed under the name uncultured bacterium. RNAcentral's name for it is "partial 16S ribosomal RNA". It matches the Rfam family "Bacterial small subunit ribosomal RNA", at positions 28 to 507 of the family's 1533-position model. The record is from RNAcentral.